This 490-nucleotide ribosomal RNA is filed under the name uncultured bacterium. RNAcentral describes it as "bacterial SSU rRNA". It matches the Rfam family "Bacterial small subunit ribosomal RNA", at positions 28 to 507 of the family's 1533-position model. The record is from RNAcentral.
GAUGAACGCUAGCGGCAGGCUUAAUACAUGCAAGUCGAGGGGCAGCAUGUCCCGUAGCAAUACGGGAUGAUGGCGACCGGCAAACGGGUGCGGAACACGUACAGAACCUUCCUUUAAGCGGGGAAUAGCCCAGAGAAAUUUGGAUUAAUACCCCAUAGUAUAUUGAAAAGGCAUCUUUUUAAUAUUAAAGAUUUAUCACUUGAAGAUGGCUGUGCGGCUGAUUAGGUAGUUGGCGGGGUAACGGCCCCCCAAGCCUGCGAUCAGUAACUGGUGUGAGAGCCCGACCAGUCACACGGGCACUGAGACACGGGCCCGACUCCUACGGGAGGCAGCCGUAAGGAAUAUUGGUCAAUGGACGCAAGUUUGAACCAGCCAUGCCGCGUGGAGGAUGAAGGUCCUUUGGAUUGUAAACUUUUUUUAUAUGGGACGAAAAAGGGUCUUUUUAGAUCAACUGACGGUACCAUAUGAAUAAGCACCGGCUAACUCCGUG